Molecule: non-coding RNA, 682 nt
Filed under: Pongo abelii (Sumatran orangutan)
Lineage: Eukaryota; Metazoa; Chordata; Mammalia; Primates; Hominidae
Source: RNAcentral
CUCAAUACGUAUUUAUCGAGAAUCUAUUAUGUAAAAUGCAGUGUUCACAGCAUCUUCACCAGGAGAAGAUUCUAUCUUAAGCAAACUCUUUUCUCAUGCAUAAGAAGCACCUCCUUACCUGUUAAAAGUUUAAUCAUGAGAUUGCAGGAAUUCAGUCACAUCUUCAGGCUCCACUUCUAAUUCUAUUUCUCUUGGUAUUUCCACCACACCUGCAGUGACUUCCUCCACUGAAGUCUUGAACCUCUCAAAGUCAUCCAUGAGGGUUGGAAUCAACUUCUUCCAAAGCCCUGUUAAUGUUUGUAGUGUUAUGAAAUAUAUGUACAUAUAGGUUUUCAUACACAGGAAACAGAAUCUCUUUGACAUUCUCUUGCCUUCCUUUUACCUGCCUUCCUUUCACCUACCCCAAAGCAGGACUUUAAUCUUCUGCUUUUAUAAUUGUGGAUCAUAAGACUUAUUUCAGAGAGGGUCCCAACCCAUGGCCUGGGGGAAGGAAUGCUGAUGUAAGGAAGCUUCCAUAAAAAUCCAAGAGGACAGCUUCCUGAUAGCUGAACAAGUGGAGGUUUCUGGGGAAUGGCUACCCGGGGAGGGCAUGGGAGCUGUGUCCCUUCCUCCAUACCUCUCCCUGUGCAUCUCUUCAUCUGGAUCCUUCGUGAUAUCCUUUAUAAUAAACUGGUAAAUGUAA